CUGGGGCUGGAGAAGGUCCCAAGGGUUGGGCUGUUCGCCCAUUAAAGUGGCACGCGAGCUGGGUUCAGAACGUCGUGAGACAGUUCGGUCCCUAUCUGUUGUGGGCGUUAGAAAUUUGAGAGGACCUGCCUCUAGUACGAGAGGACCGAGGUGGACGAACCUCUAGUGUACCUGUUGUGGCGCCAGCUGCAUCGCAGGGUAGCUAUGUUCGGAUGAGAUAAGCGCUGAAAGCAUCUAAGCACGAAACUCACCUCAAGAUGAGAUUUCUUUUAAGGGCCGUAGAAGACUACUACGUUGAUAGGCUACAAGUGUAAAGACAGUAAUGUCAAAGCUGAGUAGUACUAAUUACCCGUAGACUUAUAGU
This 364-nucleotide ribosomal RNA is filed under the name Crocinitomicaceae bacterium. RNAcentral describes it as "bacterial LSU rRNA". It matches the Rfam family "Bacterial large subunit ribosomal RNA", at positions 2547 to 2925 of the family's 2925-position model. Lineage: Bacteria; Pseudomonadati; Bacteroidota; Flavobacteriia; Flavobacteriales; Crocinitomicaceae. The record is from RNAcentral.